Molecule: ribosomal RNA, 495 nt
Filed under: Triticum aestivum (bread wheat)
Lineage: Eukaryota; Viridiplantae; Streptophyta; Magnoliopsida; Poales; Poaceae
Description: partial small subunit ribosomal RNA
Source: RNAcentral
AUGCUCGUCGACCGGAGAGAGCACGCGGCGCAGGUGGCCAGUGAGAGGGUCCAGGACGGUCAGGAUGACGGCAUUCCCUUCCCUGAAGGAGCGGCUGUAGGGGGCGAGGAGCGCGCGGCCGUGGCGGCAGUCCAGGGGCCUGUCGGCCAAGCGGCCACGGCCAGGGUGGACGGAGGGGAGGGCGGAGGUGCUGACGUAGGCUCCGUCGUCUUCGAAGAGCCCCAGGACGGAGGGCGUCCGGUGGAACUCGAGGUAGCGGCGGCGGAAUCCCGGAUCGGCGAGGAUGCGGAACCAGGGCUUGCAGACGACGGAGGCGCGGACGAGGCAGGCGGGCUCUCCCGGCGGAAGGCGGAGGAGGACCGCGUCGACCAGCUCCGGCGCAAGGCGGAGGAAGAGGUCCUCUGCGAGCUCGCCCAUCGGCGCCGGCGGGCGGCGGCGGCGGCGGAGGCGAGGGUUUGGGUGGGGAGGAGUGUGGGCACUGUACGGAGCAAGUGA